CGGUAUCAAACACCAUACACUUUCUAAAUUAUCGAUAGAUUUAUUGUUUCAGAUGGAGGAGGAGAAACACCACCACCACCACCACCUGUUCCACCACAAGGACAAGGCGGAGGAGGGCCCCGUCGACUACGAAAAAGAAAUCAAACACCAUAAACAUCUCGAGCAAAUCGGUAAACUUGGCACUGUUGCUGCCGGUGCCUACGCCUUGGUACGUUGAUAUAAUCUUACCUUAUAUAUAUAAACGUUAUUAUCGAUUAUUUAUACAAAUCAUUUUCUUUUAUUCAAAUUACGAUCAAAAUCAUUUAAGAGUUUUUCUACCGGUCACAUCCGAUUAGUCAAGAUUUUCAUCGGAGAGUUUGAAUAUAUUGAUUCCUAAUAAAAUGAUUUUAUUUCCUCGAUUCAUGCCAAAAAUCUAUAAUUAAGGACGGAAGAGUAGCCAAUUAUUUAUUUAAUAUAAUUUAAUUCCUUUUUUCCUUUUAAAUUUUUAGUUUAAUUUCAUAAUAUAUGUAAGGAAGGGGUGUGAAAAAUUUAAAGAAGAUAAACAGAGAAGGGAUGGUUUUAUUUGCGAGUAAAAGAGUUUAUUUUCUAUCUAAACACGUUUACACUAAUUUCACAUUAAGUUCACCUAAUUAUAGUAACUCUCUAUCAUCUAUACAAAAAUAGUGUAAUAAUAAAAAUUGUUCUACAACUUCUAACUCUUCAAUUAAAAAAAAAAACAACAAUGUUGAAAUUACUCAGUACUUCAUUCGUUUCAAAAUAAGUGUUGUUGUUUGUACGACAUGAUCACAACUGAUGAAAGUAUGUCACAUGAAUUAGAACAGAGUCUCUCUUAUUAAUUACUUUUUCCCUCUUUUGUUGGUGAUAAUAAACAUAAAACAAAAUUAGCAUGAGAAACAUGAGGCAAAGA
RNAcentral lists this unclassified non-coding RNA (907 nucleotides) under Hevea brasiliensis (rubber tree). Lineage: Eukaryota; Viridiplantae; Streptophyta; Magnoliopsida; Malpighiales; Euphorbiaceae. The record is from RNAcentral.